AACCUCAGUCUCUUAGCCCUAGAGGCAGCUAUGAGGGGUCAUCUGCUGUUCCCCUUCUAGCCCCAGGCAGAUGAAAAUGUAUGCUAUUUUAAGGCUUUCAGUGAAUGACAUUCCACAACCUUGCCUGUAAAGGAAAAGUGAAAUUGUAUCUUCCCUGUUAUAUAGAAAAUGUUGAUUUCAGGUCACUGACAAGGAACAGGAGUUUGCUGCCAGGGCUGCAAAACAGCUUGAAUAUCAGCAAUUAGAAGACGAUAAACUUUCUCAGAAAUCAUCUAGCAGUAAACUCUCUCGGUCUCCAUUAAAGAUUGUCAAGAAGCCUAAAAGCAUGCAGUGCAAAGUGAUACUUCUAGAUGGAUCAGAAUAUACCUGUGAUGUAGAGAAACGCUCCAGAGGACAAGUGCUGUUUGAUAAAGUGUGUGAACACUUGAACUUGCUAGAGAAAGACUACUUUGGGCUUACAUAUCGAGAUGCUGAAAACCAGAAG
This 484-nucleotide small RNA is filed under the name Pongo abelii (Sumatran orangutan). Its description in RNAcentral is "processed transcript". Lineage: Eukaryota; Metazoa; Chordata; Mammalia; Primates; Hominidae. The record is from RNAcentral.